GUAAAUAAAAGCUCUGUUCUGACGUCAUAAUCGCUGAGUUGGAACCUGGCUUUGCCACAGGCAUGCCUUCACAGAAGUCACUUAACUAAGUCUAGGUUCCUCAUCUGUGAACUGAGAAAACUAAAAGCACUGAUUCCAUGGGGUGCUGUGAGUAUUAAGUCCAUGGAAGGUUCUCAGGGGGUGCCUUCCCGGAGCAAAAUAUGCAUGUAACAAAUAUCAGCCAUCAUUAUUUCUACUAAAGCACUGAAAGAAACACAACUAAAAGACCUAAAACACAGCUUUAUAUUUUAUAGUGAUUUUGGGGGGGCAUGCCAUAGGAAAUGAUUUGAUAUCUGUAGAUUUUAAAGUCAAAAUGUUUCAUGGCUAAUUGAGAAAAAUCUUGGGCUCUUUAAGAUUAGUGUGAGGUUUAGAGAUAAUAAAUGUAAAGCAUGUGACAUAGUGCCUGACAGAUACUCAGUAAGUUGUAGGAGGUUCUAUUAUUACCAAUAUCAUCAUGAUUCAUACAUUUCUUUUCUCUCCACUUUGGCUUGACAUGUGGAUACAUGAGGCCAGUAGGAAGAAGUCACCCAUGACUAUCUGGAACAACAUUGUGGGGAAGGCCAAGUUUCUGUGGUGACGUGUGGCAAAUGGAUUGUAAAUGAAGAUAGACUGUGUAAUGAAUGACGACACUAAAGACUAAUGUGAAGGACUUUAGGGAAAACAAAAGGCUUUCAUCUGAAAGGAUGAUCUGUGGACCAAGGUCACUCAUACCACUCACUGCUCAUUUUCUCAUGUUAUUUUAAAACUUUUUUCGGCCUUUAUACUGCUUUCAGCAGCAUUUGUGUGUAAGAAGUGGACGAUGACUUUAAUAAAGAGACCCGAAUGGAACUGAAUGGAGCAUUUGUUUUUGAAGCAACUUUUACUGUCCUCAGUUUUAU
RNAcentral lists this long non-coding RNA (917 nucleotides) under Homo sapiens (human). Its description in RNAcentral is "HSALNT0324273". Lineage: Eukaryota; Metazoa; Chordata; Mammalia; Primates; Hominidae. The record is from RNAcentral.